GACGAACGCUGGCGGCGUGCUUAACACAUGCCAGUCGAACGGAAAGGCCCUGCUUUUGUGGGGUGCUCGAGUGGCGAACGGGUGAGUAACACGUGAGUAACCUGCCCUUGACUUUGGGAUAACUUCAGGAAACUGGGGCUAAUACCGGAUAGGAGCUCCUGCUGCAUGGUGGGGGUUGGAAAGUUUCGGCGGUUGGGGAUGGACGCGCGGCUUAUCAGCUUGUUGGUGGGGUAGUGGCUUACCAAGGCUUUGACGGGUAGCCGGCCUGAGAGGGUGACCGGCCACAUUGGGACUGAGGUACGGCGCAGACUCCUACGGGAGGCAGCAGUGGGGAAUAUUGCACAAUGGGCGGAAGCCUGAUGCAGCAACGCCGCGUGCGGGAUGACGGCCUUCGGGUUGUAAACCGCUUUCGCCUGUGACGAAGCGUGAGUGACGGUAAUGGGUAAAGAAGCACCGGCUAACUACGUG
This 468-nucleotide ribosomal RNA is filed under the name uncultured bacterium. Its description in RNAcentral is "partial 16S ribosomal RNA". It matches the Rfam family "Bacterial small subunit ribosomal RNA", at positions 28 to 507 of the family's 1533-position model. The record is from RNAcentral.